CUGGUUGAUCCUGCCAGUAGCCAUAUGCUUGUCUCAAAGAUUAAGCCAUGCAUGUCUCAGUGUAAGCCGCAUUACGGUGAAACCGCGAAAGGCUCAUUAAAUCAGUUGUGGUUCCUUAGAUCGUACCCAAGUUACUUGGAUAACUGUGGUAAUUCUAGAGCUAAUACAUGCCGACAGAGUUCCGACCGGCCGGCGGCCUCCGGGUCGUCGCGUCGGAAGGAACGCUUUUAUUAGAUCAAAACCGGCCCGAUCCUCGGAUCGCGGCCCGCACAAAGACCUGGUGACUCUGAAUAACUUCGAGCUGAUCGCACGGUCCUGGUACCGGCGACGCAUCUUUCAAAUGUCUGCCUUAUCAACUGUCGACGGUAGGUUCCAUGCCUACCGUGGUGGUAACGGGUAACGGGGAAUCAGGGUUCGAUUCCGGAGAGGGAGCCUGAGAAACGGCUACCACAUCCAAGGAAGGCAGCAGGCGCGCAAAUUACCCACUCCCGGUACGGGGAGGUAGUGACGAAAAAUAACGAUGCGGGACUCAUCCGAGGCCCCGUAAUCGGAAUGAGUACACUUUAAAACCUUGAAACGAGGAUCAAUUGGAGGGCAUGUCUGGUGCCAGCAGCCGCGG
This 619-nucleotide ribosomal RNA is filed under the name Phylloxera notabilis (pecan leaf phylloxera). Its description in RNAcentral is "SSU rRNA". It matches the Rfam family "Eukaryotic small subunit ribosomal RNA", at positions 4 to 579 of the family's 1831-position model. Lineage: Eukaryota; Metazoa; Arthropoda; Insecta; Hemiptera; Phylloxeridae. The record is from RNAcentral.